This 306-nucleotide unclassified non-coding RNA is filed under the name uncultured fungus. RNAcentral describes it as "sequence contains ITS1". The stretch from base 1 to 105 matches the Rfam family "5.8S ribosomal RNA", at positions 50 to 154 of the family's 154-position model. Lineage: Eukaryota; Fungi. The record is from RNAcentral.
GAAAUGCGAAAAGCAAUGCGAAUUGCAGAAUUCCGCGAGUCAUCAGAUCUUCGAACGCACCUGGCGCCGACCGGAUCUCCGAUUGGCAUGCUUGUUUCAGUGUCUUGUUACGACUCACACAUCAAAAUGUGAUUGAUUGGGUAUCACUGAUACCUUAUCUCUCAUGAAGUGAGCGCUGGACCGACGACACCGAUGCAGUAGUCACUCUUGCAGUGAUACUCAUUGGUAAUCGACGGAGUACUCCUGCGAAAAUUCUAGUAACAUCACAACGCAUCUGAGGCAAGCAAGAUCACCCGCUGAACUUAA